AUGCUCGAAUUAAAUUCGGUAUGCACAAGUAAUUACUCCCUCCGUUCCACAAUAUAUGAUUAUUUUUCAAGCUAUGUUAGCUUGAAAAACGAUCUUACAUUGUGUGGGAUGGAGGGAGUAUUUACUAACUGGAUUAAAAAAUGUGAGCGUGACCAUCUGUCCACAAUAUUUUCGAUUAUGCCAAUGACCAUCUGCCAAUACAUAAAUUCUUAUUCAUCUCACUCACAAUCAACCUAUUUCUGUUUUGUGCCAGGCCAAGUCCUUCCAAACAAAACAGCAAACCAAGUCUUCCAAGCAAACCAGCAGGAAGCAAGAAACCAGGCAGUAGUUUGUAAUCCUGUUGAGUUUACUGAAAUGGGCAUCAUGUUUACUGAAUGCGCAUCAUGUUUCAGAAUUUGGAGGGUUCUCUCUCGCUGUACACUGAAUCUUGUGUCUUCUGUACACUUUCUGAAUGAGCAAGAAACCAAGCAAAACGUUGAGUUUACUGAAUCUUGUGUCUUUUUGUGCACUGGCUAG
Molecule: ribosomal RNA, 516 nt
Filed under: Triticum aestivum (bread wheat)
Lineage: Eukaryota; Viridiplantae; Streptophyta; Magnoliopsida; Poales; Poaceae
Description: partial small subunit ribosomal RNA
Source: RNAcentral